RNAcentral lists this ribosomal RNA (442 nucleotides) under uncultured Sphingobacteriales bacterium. RNAcentral's name for it is "bacterial SSU rRNA". It matches the Rfam family "Bacterial small subunit ribosomal RNA", at positions 941 to 1382 of the family's 1533-position model. The record is from RNAcentral. Lineage: Bacteria; Pseudomonadati; Bacteroidota; Sphingobacteriia; Sphingobacteriales.
GUGGUUUAAUUCGAUGAUACGCGAGGAACCUUACCUGGGCUAGAACGCAGAAUGACAGAUGCCGAAAGGUGUUUUCCCAGCAAUGGGCAUUUUGCGAGGUGCUGCAUGGUUGUCGUCAGCUCGUGCCGUGAGGUGUCGGGUUAAGUCCCAUAACGAGCGCAACCCCUAUUGUUAGUUGCCAGCGGGUAAUGCCGGGAUCUCUAACGAAACUGCCGGUGUAAACCGGAGGAAGUGGGGAUGACGUCAAAUCAGCACGGCCCUUAUGUCCAGGGCUACACACGUGUUACAAUGGCCGAUACAACGGGCAGCCACCUGGUGACAGGGAGCUAAUCCUAAAAGUCGGUCUCAGUUCGGAUCGAAGUCUGCAACCCGACUUCGUGAAGCUGGAUUCGCUAGUAAUCGCAGAUCAGCCAUGCUGCGGUCGAAUACGUUCCCGGGCCUU